Molecule: ribosomal RNA, 253 nt
Filed under: Prevotellamassilia timonensis
Lineage: Bacteria; Pseudomonadati; Bacteroidota; Bacteroidia; Bacteroidales; Prevotellaceae
Description: partial 16S ribosomal RNA
Rfam family: Bacterial small subunit ribosomal RNA
Source: RNAcentral
UACGGAAGGUCCGGGCGUUAUCCGGAUUUAUUGGGUUUAAAGGGAGCGCAGGCGGACCUUUAAGUCAGCUGUGAAAUACGGCGGCUCAACCGUCGAACUGCAGUUGAUACUGGAGGUCUUGAGUGCACACAGGGAUGUUGGAAUUCAUGGUGUAGCGGUGAAAUGCUCAGAUAUCAUGAAGAACUCCGAUCGCGAAGGCAGGCAUCCGGGGUGCAACUGACGCUGAGGCUCGAAAGUGCGGGUAUCAAACAGG